RNAcentral lists this long non-coding RNA (1608 nucleotides) under Androctonus crassicauda. Lineage: Eukaryota; Metazoa; Arthropoda; Arachnida; Scorpiones; Buthidae. The record is from RNAcentral.
AUUAUUAUUUUUUUGAAACUUUCUACAUAAAUAAUAGUGUUUUUUUUAAUAUAAAUAUAUACAUAUCGUGAUUCCAACAAGUUUUGUAAAGUUUUAAACGGGAAUAGUGUGUGUAAAAAAUUCAGUGGUAAUUAAAGGGUAUCAUAAAUCACGAUCAGGUAGGUGAUCCCAAGUUUGCUUUGAUUGCUAAGCCCUUGUGUGUGUGUGUGUGUAUGUGCUUUCAAGAUAAUUGCCAGUUCUAUUCACCAGAAAAUGUGUUUUUGCUCUGCUAUUUAUAGAUUUAUAGCAUGCGAGAUCUAGACGUUUGUUCGCUAAUCUAGCCGGCGAUCUAGUUAAUAAGUGUAUAACCGUGUAAUUUGAUCGCAGUAACUAAAGCGCAGAAACCGUUUAACGCUAUCUGCUAUUACCUUUUCUAUGAAUUUUUUAGUUUUAGCAACUUGUAUAAGUGGUUAUCGUAUCUUUUUUUUUUUUUUUCCAUUGAUGUCACGCGUGCGGUUCUUGCAGGAAGCGAAAAUCUUAUCUGUUAGAAAGAGAGAGAGAGACCAUUUUGGUCAUUGUCACGAUUUUGAUUGGUGAGGUGCGCUAAUCUUUUCGCACAGAAAAGAAAAGAUAAGUUGUGCAGUAUGUCAUACAAACACACAUACGUUCCGGUUAAACGGCAAUUAACGUAAUGAUAGACCACCUCGAUUUAUUGGCGAUCGAAUUACGCGUUAACAACUCGUCAUUAGUGCUGUAAACAACGAUGCCGUUCGAACGUCACGCGUUUAAAACUUUACAGAAACUUCGAGUAAUUGCCUUAAGUGCAAAAAUCCGUCGAAAGGAAAAAUUCGGCCAGAGAGGAAAGGAAGAAGAAAAAAGAGAGGAAAAAAAAAAAAGCAGAUUUUUUUCAAGUCAAAUCACGCACAAGUCGGUAUAAACUAAGCCUCUUUUCUCGCGCCAUUUUUUUUUUACCAGAAGAGGAAGAAAUCGCUUUUGCUAUUCCACACUCGUACGGUCGGAAAUCACACAAGAUGCUUUUAUUAACUUUUCGGUACCUUCCCUAUGUGACGUCACAUCGUUUUGAUGGUUAUUUACGAGGAAUUCGGCAUCGUCUAUCCUAUGAGAAAAUCAUGGUUCGAAUUUAUAAACCGAAACAUAACUCACGUGAUCUGUUAUACACAUCCGAAAACCUCCAAAAUAUACUUUUAGUAACUCGCUUCAGCAAACAGAGAAUUAUUCAAAGUAAAUAGCGAAAAUCCGGAUAAUUAUAGUACAUCCCCUUGCAAAAGUAUGUACAGAUGUCAUAUAAUUAUCCAGAUUUUGACAAUCUGUACAUACUUUUGCAAGAGGAUAUACUGUAAUUAUCUGUAUUUUGGCGAUCUAUACACACAUUUGCAAGGAAAUGUCGUAUAACUAUCCGGAUUUUGGUCAUUUCCUUGAAAAAGUGUGUACAGAUAGCCAAAAUCCGGAUAAUUACAGAACAGCUUGCUUACAUACAAAAGUAUGUACAGCUUGCAGCUUGCUACAUACUUUUGUAUGUAAAGAUGGCCAAAAUCUAGAUAAUUAUAGGACAUCUUGCAAAAAUAUGUACAGAUCGCCAAACGUCUGCUUUAUAUAUAUAUAUUUAUU